GGUUGUGGAAAGCUGUUGUGGAGCUGGCCAAUGAAGAAGAUGCUAGACUUUUGCUACAGAGGGCUGUGGAAUGCUGUCCAUUGCAUGUGGAGCUGUGGCUUGCUCUUGCCAAGUUGGAGACUUAUGAAAAUGCUAAGAAAGUACUUAACAAGGCUAGAGAAAAGCUGCCUAAAGAGCCUGCCAUCUGGAUCACUGCAGCUAGGCUUGAAGAGGCUGAUGGGAAUACUGCUUCAGUUGGGAAAAUUAUUGAAAGGGCAAUAAGGGCUUUGCAGAGAGAAGGUUUGGAGAUUGACAGGGAGGCUUGGAUGAAGGAGGCUGAAGGAUGUGAGAGAGCUGGUUCUCUUGGGACUUGCCAAGCUAUAAUAAACAACACUGUUGGGGUUGGUGUUGAGGAAGAAGAUAGGAAGAGGACCUGGGUUGCUGAUGCUGAGGAGUGCAAGAAAAGGGGUUCUAUUGAAACAGCGAAAUACAUUUAUGCACAUGCUCUUACUGUAUUUAGAACUAAGAAAAGCAUCUGGCUUAAAGCUGCACAGCUCGAGAAAAGUCAUGGCACGAGGGAAUCACUUGAUGCACUGCUUCGAAAAGCAGUUACCUACAUUCCAAAGGCUGAGGUUCUAUGGUUGAUGGGUGCCAAA
RNAcentral lists this unclassified non-coding RNA (635 nucleotides) under Hevea brasiliensis (rubber tree). Lineage: Eukaryota; Viridiplantae; Streptophyta; Magnoliopsida; Malpighiales; Euphorbiaceae. The record is from RNAcentral.